GGACCCGCACAAGUAGUGGAGCAUGUGGUUUAAUUCGAAGAUACGCGCAGAACCUUACCAACACUUGACAUGUUCGUCGCGACUUCAAGAGAUUGAAGUUUUCGGUUCGGCCGGACGAAACACAGGUGCUGCAUGGCUGUCGUCAGCUCGUGUCGUGAGAUGUUGGGUUAAGUCCCGCAACGAGCGCAACCCUUGUCAUUAGUUGCUACAUUUAGUUGAGCACUCUAAUGAGACUGCCGGUGACAAACCGGAGGAAGGUGGGGAUGACGUCAAGUCCUCAUGGCCCUUAUGGGUAGGGCUUCACACGUCAUACAAUGGUCGGUACAGAGGGUUGCUAAGCCGCGAGGUGGAGCCAAUCCCAGAAACCGAUCGUAGUCCGGAUCGUAGUCUGCAACUCGACUACGUG
Molecule: ribosomal RNA, 406 nt
Filed under: uncultured bacterium
Lineage: Bacteria
Description: bacterial SSU rRNA
Rfam family: Bacterial small subunit ribosomal RNA
Source: RNAcentral